UAGCAUUCACUAAGAAUCAUCACUGUACUUCUUCUAUCCCUAGAGAUUUAUUGCCAUAUUUUCACCUCUCCCCUCAGAGUUAGGUAUUCUUGGUCGUCACUAAGAAUCAUCACUUAAUUUUUUUCCUUUUUGAACACAAGGUUUUGGGCUCAUUCCCCAAGCCGAGUCAGAUUUACAUAGCCAAAAAUCAUCUUUGAUUUUUC
This 203-nucleotide long non-coding RNA is filed under the name Lathyrus oleraceus (garden pea). RNAcentral's name for it is "Pisum sativum (pea) long non-coding RNA (PSAT_LNC019123)". Lineage: Eukaryota; Viridiplantae; Streptophyta; Magnoliopsida; Fabales; Fabaceae. The record is from RNAcentral.